RNAcentral lists this ribosomal RNA (397 nucleotides) under Gloeothece fuscolutea. RNAcentral's name for it is "bacterial SSU rRNA". It matches the Rfam family "Bacterial small subunit ribosomal RNA", at positions 400 to 824 of the family's 1533-position model. The record is from RNAcentral. Lineage: Bacteria; Bacillati; Cyanobacteriota; Cyanophyceae; Chroococcales; Aphanothecaceae.
CGUGAGGGAGGAGGCUCUUGGGUUGUAAACCUCUUUUCUCAGGGAAGAAGAACUGACGGUACCUGAGGAAUAAGCAUCGGCUAACUCCGUGCCAGCAGCCGCGGUAAUACGGAGGAUGCAAGCGUUAUCCGGAAUUAUUGGGCGUAAAGCGUCCGCAGGUGGCUUUUCAAGUCUGCUGUCAAAGCGUGGAGCUUAACUCCAUAUAGGCGGUGGAAACUGAAAGACUAGAGGCCGGUAGGGGUAGUGGGAAUUCCCAGUGUAGCGGUGAAAUGCGUAGAGAUUGGGAAGAACAUCGGUGGCGAAAGCGCACUACUGGGCUGGACCUGACACUGAGGGACGAAAGCUAGGGGAGCGAAAGGGAUUAGAUAACCCGCGUGAAGGAUGGGUACUGUGCGUA